AACAGAACAACAGCAAAGAAGAACAACAAAAAUAACAGUGGUGUUCACUUUGGAUGUGAUCGGUGAACAGAGGGAGAGCUUGUUCCAGCAGACGGGCCCCAUCCGCUCCUCCCGUCCGAGGGCUGGGAAGAAGGGAUGGAGGCGAAGGGAACUCUCCCACCCCUCCGGGGCCCCGCGGGCGCGCUGCUUCCCAGAAAAUACGGUAAAAAGCCUUCAGCCUAAAAAUAACUGCAGCCCGUGGCUGCCCAAGGCUGAGGAACCAGCCCCUCGGGGCUCACUUAGAGAUGUCAACGUGUGGCCAUUGGCCGGUCUCUCUGAUGGGCAGAAGUCAUCUGGCGAGGUGCUGAUCCUCCUAUAGUGUUUGCAAGAUCUUUAAGAAGAAUUGCAUGGCCGAUGUCGUUGCGUUUGAGUUGUGCUAGAAUACCCUGACCAUCAGAGGACUUGGAUUUUAUGACAGAAGAGAUCAGCACUGCAAAGACAUGGCGAUGUUGUUCACAUUGCCUGGACCUGAGCCCAGGGUCCGGGACCAGACCUGUCUCAUACCCACACCUUAGAAGACAGCGCCGUGUUCGUGUUUUCUUUUUGCAGGCUGAAAGCUUUCCUGGACCUGCUGAACACUUCUGCUGUAAUCUGUCGUGGCUGUCAGGGUGCCAAGAGACAUGCCAGACCCUGGGCCACAAUAGUGGAACAGACAUGCCCAGAGCUGAAAGCUGGCACAAGGUAGUGUAUAAAGUGAGAUAUGUGAAGCCACGGGCAAAUAGUUUGGUAAUCACGUGGGUCAGUUAGGCUUGGCACAGGGCAGAGCCUGUCUGCUCAUCAAGGAAGGCAGAGACAAAACUUCGUCAUAGAAUCAUAGAAUAUUUGAAUUAUUGAAUCAUUGAAUGGCUUGGGUUAGAAGGGACCUUACAGCCCACCCAGCUCCAACCCCAGUGCCAUGGGCACAGUUGCCACUCACUGCAUCAGGUUGCCCAGUGCCCCACACAACCUGGUCUUGAGAAGAGUUGGGGGACUUCUUAAUGAGAGCUACGAGGAUUAAACAAAAACAAUUACUCCAGAAGGACUGAGGUAAAGGACACAGUGUUGUCUCAGUGGGGUCGCAAACACAUUUCAAAACAGAUUUUUGCAGAAAGAGAUGUUUCCCAUUCCCCAGAUAUCUUGUUCCCAACAACGAUUCUCGUUUCACAGUAAGGUUCAGGGUUGGAGGAAGGAGCAUGAGCCUUGCUCAGCAUUGGUGCAGGGGAUGCUCCACGUGUCUCCUCACCUAGAAAGCUAAACCUCAAAGAAUAGAAGAGCACAAUUCACUCCUCGCAGAUGGGGAAAUGGUGCAGUGAGUCAGCAAGGCAGACCACAGAUGCUGUCCAAAAGCAUUGCAGCAAUUAGUUGGAGCAAGGUGGAGAUAUAUUCCUCCAAAAUGAAAGUCUCUGUAGGCUGUUACCAGUGCUCACAGCCAUCUAGUCCCUUGCUGAACAUUUCUGACCAAAAUCCUUCCAAGCUGAUCUAUUUUCAGCCCAACCCACUCGAUACCUUGAUUGCUACGCAGCUCUUUUAGCUGCUCUUAGGUAAACAUGUUGUCAUUCCCUGGCAUUUUGCCUCGCUAAGACCAAAAAUAUGAGUGGCACAGAAAAUAAGAAAAGCUGUUCUCCUCCGCCAGGAAAAAUGAUGCUAUUUCUGAAAUAAACUGUUUUUAAUACACCUCACCAGCCAUGUGCAUAUACACACAUGUAUAAAUAUACUUGACCCGGAGGUCCAGUUCCAGUGUUGGCAUCUUGUAUGCCUAUAUGGAGACAGAACAGAGAGGGAAUUAUGUAUGUACAAACCAGGACACACCUUCGGUCCAGUCUACAUCUGAAUGCAGAACGUUGGUUAAGACAAAAUACUGAGGUCUGAUCCCCAUUAAAACAGGUUCACAGGGACUGGUCCAAACUGAGACCAGAGAGUUAUGGGCUGUCAUGAGGAGCAGCUUCUACCAUAGCGACCCAUGUGCCCCAUACCUAAAACCAGCAUCCCCAGGGUUGAACCAGAGCAGGCUGGAGCAGAUCAGUGUCAGAGCUCUAUCCACAGCAGGCCUUGUUUUUGAGGAAUGACAGUGAUGUUGGCCAGACCUCCAAGCCUCUUUUUUUUUCAGAUUUCUCUUUAUCGAGUAAACACAUAGAAGUCAACAACAGAUGGAGCAUCACAUGGAGUUACGCAGGUCAGCAAAGGCUUCGGAGACCCCGUGAGUUUGAGGAGGCAAUAAAUUGGCAGGAGAUGUGGAUGGGAAAUUAUUCUGAGGGACGGAGGAAAAAAAUAGUGGGUUGAUCUGUCGCCCCUGUGACAUGCUCAGGUUUUGUGGAGGAAGACAAAGGUGGGCAGAUAACAAAAGCUCCUGGGUAGGAAGGCUUUUGGGUUCCUCUUUGGCUGCAAAUUGUGAAAUUCAAGCAGAAAGGUAACAAACUGGUAACAAAACGGGCAGGAGUAAAGCAAAGCGAGUGCAAAACAAAAGCAGAUUUUGUGUGACAGGAGCAGAUUGAACUGAUGUGACAAAGGAGGAGGAGAGCUUUUUCAGUAGCUUGUAUAGUGCUGCGGGGAGCUGGGAGUGACAAAUGAGGAAUUUGCACAAGUGGAGAGCAACAGCGUAGGGCUGUGUGUUGAGGAAGAAAGAAAGGAGAAAAGGGAGCAAAGGACACCUAUUAAUAAAAAGAAACCUACAUUCCAUUUAAGAUUUAUUGCUAGCUCAGAGCCAGAGAAUCUUUCAUGCCUUCGCAUCUCUGAGCUAACAUUACCCAAGAGUGGGUAGUGGUGGGGAUCCACUAUGAGCCAUUGAAUUCAAGUGGAAAAGAGCUCCGGUCUUUAAUAUGCAGAAAUUAAAACACUUUGGCUGACAGAGCUUUCAAUCUGAGAAACCUGCACUGUAGUAGCAGAAUAGCAUUAGUGCUCCUGAAUACACAGCUGGUAAUUUCCGAGCACGAAAUAUCAUGCAUUGAAAAUGAAAUUGCUCCAUUUAGGAGAUCGGUGUGGUGGGGAUGGAUGAAUUCAGUGCUGGAUGAAAAAUUAAUGGUUGCCUUCAGACAGGUGUUGACUAGCUGGUGGUGUUCCAAGAAAGGACGGUCCCAUCUGGUCAUGGGGAGAGCUGUGAUGGUGCGAAAAGAAGAGAGUGAUCACCAUGGACAAAGAGCAUCCCACGAACUCAUGUCAGAGAAGAGUUUUUGUCUUGGAGGUGGAGGGCUCAGUCGGUGGGAGAAGUAGGGCUACUUCUACGUGGGGUGUGGAUGGAGAAGUUUGAGGUAAAAUGAGGCUGGAUGGUUGGAGAAACACCAGCUAACAUUGGGUGUGGACUUGAUUACAGCAUAGAAUUGCCUCUGAGGGGAGGGGGUGAGGGGCUGCCUCACGUAGGGGAGAAAUAUAUGAUAGCAGUGGGUUGGAAAGCUGAGAUUUGGGCAAAUUUGAAUGAAAAAAAGAAGCACCUUUUAGCUGACAGAUGAUUAGGAUGCACUUGAAGGACAGCAGCGUGUCUUCCCCCACACCAAACCCUGUGUGCCACCUUGGCAGUCCACGGAGGCACCUUGAGCUGACCUAUCCGGUCCGUUCUGCUGGAGGAGGGGACAAGCAGGCCCCAGCUUCCAUCAGCUGCUCUGGGUUUGCAGUUAGGGUAGAUAAAUCCUUAUACUUACAAAGCAAGGCUGCCCGCGUGCCAAGUUGAGCACUGAAUCAGAAGAUGAGCUCCCUGGGGGGGUAAUCGGUAUCUUUCAUAAACUGCAAUUGGUCAGAGGAGAUGGGGAUUUUCCUGGCUCCAGCCCACGCACCCCUGCCCAUGCUGUGUGAGACGUGCAGGGCAAUUUACCUAUCGAUAGCUCACAGUGCUGGGCAAAUAUUUGUCUUAUCGUGGGUUUAGCAGUGAUAGCUAAAGGGCAGCGGCAAAACAAAGCCCAGGAAAGACCCAACUCUGAUCCAGUGCAGCUGGGAAAGCUGGAGGCUUUCCAGUCUGUGGGUGCUCAGCGUGUCCCUGCCCGGAAGGGGCUGCGGGGGGGAGCUGGGCUCAGCACUGCAGUGACAUUUGGAGAGAGCAGGAGGUCACAGAGCUGGAAGCAAACACAGGCAGUGACUGUCCUGCAGUGCACAGCCAGAGAGCUGCCUCUGCAGAGAGAAAACACAGGCAAGCACGCCUGAAACCUGUGCUUUGCUUCACUGCGCUUUCCUCCCAUAAAAAGUCUUUUAAAAAGUAUGAGUAAAUCUUUUUCCUAAAUCCUGUUCUCUUCCCUUCCCCUUCUCGUUCCCCUUCUCCCCCCUUCUCGUUCCCCUUCCCUUCCCUUCCCUUCCCUUCCCUUCCCUUCCCUUCCCUUCCCUUCCCUUCCCUUCCCUUCCCUUCCCUUCCCUUCCCUUCCCUUCCCUUCCCUUCCCUUCCCUUCCCUUCCCUUCCCUUCCCUUCCCUUCCCUUCCCUUCCCUUCCCUUCCCUUCCCUUCCCUUCCCUUCCCUUCCCUUCCCUUCCCUUCCCUUCCCUUCCCUUCCCUUCCCCUUCCCCUUCCCUAUGAAGAAACGGAAGGAGAACCCAUGGAGACAAUGUGAGACAUCCCCAGAAUGAAUCCAGAUGUGCUGCUCUGUCUGUAACCCAGUGCUGUAAGGAGGACUGAGAUCUGCUGCACUGCAAGCCUGGAUAAAGAUACCCACCAUGGAUCUUCUCCCUGGACUCCUGACCCCAACUGCUCACCUUCCUCCUUCUGCCCUGGGCUAACUUCUCCUCGACUUCUGCUUUGGUUGAAAAGAGGCUGGGGUAAAAAAAGGGGGAAGGGGAGCCUGAAGGUGCAUACUGCUCUGCACCGGAUGCUGUGCAAGCAUACAAAUAACCACGGUCCCUGCGCCAGCAGAUCCAGCAGCUCAGCACAGAUCCAGCCCCAGGGGCUCAUCCUGGGCAGGGAGUGCAACCCUCGAGCUCCAACACCAUCCUGAGCUGACAGCUGCCCUCCUCCCCCCACCCCCAGCCACCUCCAAGCCGUUCACGGAGCGAUUCUCCAAAUGAUUUUUCUGGAAAACCAAUUAAAGGAGGAGUUACAUCACACAGCAGCCAGCCCAACCGGCGCUGCGUUGCGCUGACGAACCCUGCCUGUAUUUUGGGCUCUGCACCACAUUGCUCACAGCUGCUGCUGCUGCUGCCGUGCUGGAAUUUGCAGCAUGCUAUCUAAAUAUACUGCAACAAAAAACUGAUCAAAGCAGCUAAAUAUUAUUGUCUGCGCUCGGAUGGGAGGCGCAGAGCGUGGUCUCCCAGAAAACCUCCAAGUGCUUCGUUUUUUCCCCUGUGCAAAACCACAGACAAACAAAAUCGGGAGGGGGUAGGGUGUGGAAAGAAGCAGAGAAGGAGACUUUCAGUGGGUGUGAAGGGAGCACAGCCCAGGGCUUGGAAGUCAGGAAAUUCCAGUCCCUACAGCCUGUGGCAGGGGACAGGACGUGCUGCCUUAUGGGCUUGUGCUCCCCUCUGGAUGCUGCCACAUACUACCUUCAUACCUUUAGGUCAUCACAAAAUGAUGGAAUCUUAGAAUCGUUUGGGUUGGAAGGGAUCUGAGAAAUCAUUGAGCUCCAACCCCCUGCUGUGGGCUGGUUGCCACCCACCAGGUCUGGCUGCCCAGGGCCCCAUCCAUCCUGGCCUUGAGUACCUCCAGGGAUGGGGCAUCGACAGUUUCUCUGGGCAGCCUGUCAUCACCCACCAUCACCCAACAAGCGUGCCCACCCCUCAGUAUCCAGGCCAAGCUUAUUUAGGAAGCACAGAGCCUCCCAGACCCUUCCCCUGUGUAGUUGGCAAGAAAUAAAACAAGCCAGGUUGAGCUCAGUGUAUGGCAGGGGCAAGGCUUGGCACCAGGAUGGGGGUCUUAGACGGUGCCCAUGGACUAGGUUGGCCCCCGCUAUCACUCAGGCAGAAUUCUCAGCCCUCAGUUCCCUCCCAUAAAUCUUCCAGGUGAGCUCAUCAGCACUGCCAUGCAGAACAAGCACUGCUGCAAAUGAGUAGUCAUGAAUAAUCACUCUGGAUGCUUUGAAAAGCUUCUUAUCCUUUGCAUAAGAGACUCAAAGAAAAGCUGGCAUUAAGCCGAGGACUGCUGCUUGGUUUGGUCUCCAACCAUGAGAUGCUCAGUGGCAUCUCACCCUGGUGACAGCCAGGUCUCCUGCCAUGGGGGCAACAGGGGCAAAGGAAGAUGAUGCAGUAGCUUCAGCACCAGCUCCUGACCACAAGUCCCCACAUGCAUUCGACUGUCCGUGGGAUGCCAGGUGAGCUGCCUGAUUUUACAUCCAUUACAAGGUGAUGAGCUUCUCCAGUAUCAAUGAGAAGAAUCUGUGCAUGGCUGAAACUCAGGAAUACAAAUAACUUUCUCAUGAAGAAAACCCUAAACCCCAUUCUCUACUGGUGCACGUAACAAGGCUGUGAGCAGCUUCUCUUUGCCUGUGUCAAGUUGUGUACACCAUGCCUACUAUUAAUACAGAUGGUUUCUUCUCCUCUUUUCCUCAUUUCUCCUUUUCACAACCCAACCAGGAAUUAAAG
Molecule: long non-coding RNA, 6503 nt
Filed under: Gallus gallus (chicken)
Lineage: Eukaryota; Metazoa; Chordata; Aves; Galliformes; Phasianidae
Description: lncRNA (ENSGALG00010027596.1)
Source: RNAcentral